Molecule: ribosomal RNA, 117 nt
Filed under: Jaculus jaculus (lesser Egyptian jerboa)
Lineage: Eukaryota; Metazoa; Chordata; Mammalia; Rodentia; Dipodidae
Source: RNAcentral
AUCUAUGGCCACAUCACCCUGAACGUGUCCAAUCUCAUCUGAUUUUGGAAGUUAAGCAGGGUCAGUCUUGGUUAUUACUUUGGAUGGGAGAAUGGGGGAAAAAAAAAACUUUGAAAA